UACGGAGGGGGCUAGCGUUGUUCGGAAUUACUGGGCGUAAAGCGCGCGUAGGCGGACCUGCAAGUCGGGGGUGAAAGCCCGAGGCUCAACCUCGGAACUGCCUUCGAUACUGCGGGUCUCGAGUCCGGGAGAGGUGAGUGGAAUUCCGAGUGUAGAGGUGAAAUUCGUAGAUAUUCGGAGGAACACCAGUGGCGAAGGCGGCUCACUGGCUCGGUACUGACGCUGAGGUGCGAAAGCGUGGGGAGCAAACAGG
Molecule: ribosomal RNA, 253 nt
Filed under: uncultured bacterium
Lineage: Bacteria
Description: partial 16S ribosomal RNA
Rfam family: Bacterial small subunit ribosomal RNA
Source: RNAcentral